UUUGGUGAUGAUGGCAGAGAGGUCACACCCGUUCCCAUACCGAACACGGAAGUUAAGCUCUCUAGCGCCGAUGGUAGUUGGGACCUU
This 87-nucleotide ribosomal RNA is filed under the name Shigella flexneri. Lineage: Bacteria; Pseudomonadati; Pseudomonadota; Gammaproteobacteria; Enterobacterales; Enterobacteriaceae. The record is from RNAcentral. RNAcentral also lists the same sequence under 9 other names.